This 453-nucleotide RNase P RNA is filed under the name Thioploca sp. RNAcentral's name for it is "RNase P RNA component class A". It matches the Rfam family "Bacterial RNase P class A". Rfam says of the family: Ribonuclease P (RNase P) is a ubiquitous endoribonuclease, found in archaea, bacteria and eukarya as well as chloroplasts and mitochondria. Its best characterised activity is the generation of mature 5'-ends of tRNAs by cleaving the 5'-leader elements of precursor-tRNAs. Cellular RNase Ps are ribonucleoproteins. Lineage: Bacteria; Pseudomonadati; Pseudomonadota; Gammaproteobacteria; Thiotrichales; Thiotrichaceae. The record is from RNAcentral.
GUAGUUGGUUAAGCAGUCGCUGUAUUUAUUUAAAAUACAGAGGAAAGUCCGGGCUUCACAGGACAAGGUGCCAGGUAACACCUGGGAGACGUAAGUCUACGGAAAGUGCCACAGAAAAUAUACCGCCAAUUUCAGUUAGCAGUUAUCAGUUAUCAAUGAAUAUUAGAUAAUUAAUUGUGAUAACUGCUAACUGCUAACUGAAAGAGGUAAGGGUGAAAAGGUGUCGGUAAGAGCGCACCGCGUUGGUGGUAACAUCAAUGGCAAGGUAAACCCCACCUGAAGCAAGACCAAAUAGGGGAAUAGUAGACGCCGCUAAGGCGACUACCGAUGUGGUCCGCAUUAUUCCCGGGUAGGUUGCUAGAGGUAUUUGGUGACAAAUACCCCAGAUGAAUGACUGCUACAUUGCUUGCUAUAAGUAAUGAACAGAACCCGGCUUAUCGAUCAACUACCUUU